RNAcentral lists this ribosomal RNA (498 nucleotides) under uncultured Polaribacter sp. RNAcentral's name for it is "bacterial SSU rRNA". It matches the Rfam family "Bacterial small subunit ribosomal RNA", at positions 77 to 573 of the family's 1533-position model. The record is from RNAcentral. Lineage: Bacteria; Pseudomonadati; Bacteroidota; Flavobacteriia; Flavobacteriales; Flavobacteriaceae.
UGCUUGCACAGAUGACGACCGGCGCACGGGUGCGUAACGCGUAUAGAACCUACCUUUUACAGAGGAAUAGCCUUUAGAAAUGAAGAUUAAUGCCUCAUGGUAUUGUAGACUGGCAUCAGUUUAUAAUUAAAGAUUUAUCGGUAAAAGAUGGCUAUGCGUCCUAUUAGUUAGUUGGUAAGGUAACGGCUUACCAAGACAGCGAUAGGUAGGGGUCCUGAGAGGGAGAUCCCCCACACUGGUACUGAGACACGGACCAGACUCCUACGGGAGGCAGCAGUGAGGAAUAUUGGACAAUGGAGGAGACUCUGAUCCAGCCAUGCCGCGUGUAGGAAGAAUGCCCUAUGGGUUGUAAACUACUUUUAUACAGGAAGAAACACUGGUAUGUAUACCAGCUUGACGGUACUGUAAGAAUAAGGACCGGCUAACUCCGUGCCAGCAGCCGCGGUAAUACGGAGGGUCCGAGCGUUAUCCGGAAUCAUUGGGUUUAAAGGGUCCGCA